This 497-nucleotide ribosomal RNA is filed under the name uncultured bacterium. RNAcentral describes it as "partial 16S ribosomal RNA". It matches the Rfam family "Bacterial small subunit ribosomal RNA", at positions 28 to 507 of the family's 1533-position model. The record is from RNAcentral.
GAUGAACGCUGGCGGCGUGCCUAAUACAUGCAAGUCGAGCGAACAGAUGAGGAGCUUGCUCCUCUGACGUUAGCGGCGGACGGGUGAGUAACACGUGGAUAACCUACCUAUAAGACUGGGAUAACUUCGUGAAACCGGAGCUAAUACCGGAUAAUAUAUUGAACCGCAUGGUUCAAUAGUGAAAGACGGUUUUGCUGUCACUUAUAGAUGGAUCCGCGCCGCAUUAGCUAGUUGGUAAGGUAACGGCUUACCAAGGCAACGAUGCGUAGCCGACCUGAGAGGGUGAUCGGCCACACGGGAACUGAGACACGGUCCAGACUCCUACGGGAGGCAGCAGUAGGGAAUCUUCCGCAAUGGGCGAAAGCCUGACGGAGCAACGCCGCGUGAGUGAUGAAGGUCUUCGGAUCGUAAAACUCUGUUAUGAGGGAAGAACAAAUGUGUAAGUAACUAUGCACGUCUUGACGGUACCUAAUCAGAACGCCACGGCUAACUACGUG